Vicugna pacos (alpaca) is the source of this 104-nucleotide small nuclear RNA. NCBI's taxonomy places the organism in Eukaryota, Metazoa, Chordata, Mammalia, Artiodactyla, Camelidae. The record is from RefSeq and is a predicted model, not a curated record.
CUCACUUUGGCGGGACAUAUACUAAAAUUGGAACAAUACAGAGGUGAUUAGCAUGGCCCCUGCUCAAGGAUGACAAGCAAAUUCAUGAAGCGUUCUGUAUUUAA